GAUGAACGCUGGCGGCGUGCCUAAUACAUGCAAGUCGAGCGAACAGACGAGGAGCUUGCUCCUCUGACGUUAGCGGCGGACGGGUGAGUAACACGUGGAUAACCUACCUAUAAGACUGGGAUAACUUCGGGAAACCGGAGCUAAUACCGGAUAAUAUAUUGAACCGCAUAGUUCAAUAGUGAAAGACGGUUUUGCUGUCACUUAUAGAUGGAUCCGCGCCGCAUUAGCUAGUUGGUAAGGUAACGGCUUACCAAGGCGACGAUGCGUAGCCGGCCUGAGAGGGUGAUCGGCCACACUGGAACUGAGACACGGUCCAGACUCCUACGGGAGGCAGCAGUAGGGAAUCUUCCGCAAUGGGCGAAAGCCUGACGGAGCAACGCCGCGUGAGUGAUGAAGGUCUUCGGAUCGUAAAACUCUGUUAUUAGGGAAGAACAAAUGUGUAAGUAACUAUGCACGUCUUGACGGUACCUAAGCAGAAAGCCACGGCUAACUACGU
Molecule: ribosomal RNA, 496 nt
Filed under: uncultured bacterium
Lineage: Bacteria
Description: partial 16S ribosomal RNA
Rfam family: Bacterial small subunit ribosomal RNA
Source: RNAcentral